This 1364-nucleotide ribosomal RNA is filed under the name uncultured bacterium. RNAcentral's name for it is "bacterial SSU rRNA". It matches the Rfam family "Bacterial small subunit ribosomal RNA", at positions 28 to 1387 of the family's 1533-position model. The record is from RNAcentral.
GAUGAACCCUUUCUACAGGCUUAACACUUGCAAGUCGAGGGGCAGCAUGGUUUUAGCUUGCUAAGACUGAUGGCGACCGGCGCACGGGUGAGUAACACGUAUCCAACCUGCCGUCUACUCUUGGACAGCCUUCUGAAAGGAAGAUUAAUACAAGAUGGCAUCAUGAGUCCACAUGUUCACAUGAUUAAAGGUAUUCCGGUAGACGAUGGGGAUGCGUUCCAUUAGAUAGUAGGCGGGGUAACGGCCCACCUAGUCUUCGAUGGAUAGGGGUUCUGAGAGGAAGGUCCCCCACAUUGGAACUGAGACACGGUCCAAACUCCUACGGGAGGCAGCAGUGAGGAAUAUUGGUCAAUGGGCGAGAGCCUGAACCAGCCAAGUAGCGUGAAGGAUGACUGCCCUAUGGGUUGUAAACUUCUUUUAUAAAGGAAUAAAGUCGGGUAUGGAUACCCGUUUGCAUGUACUUUAUGAAUAAGGAUCGGCUAACUCCGUGCCAGCAGCCGCGGUAAUACGGAGGAUCCGAGCGUUAUCCGGAUUUAUUGGGUUUAAAGGGAGCGUAGAUGGAUGUUUAAGUCAGUUGUGAAAGUUUGCGGCUCAACCGUAAAAUUGCAGUUGAUACUGGAUAUCUUGAGUGCAGUUGAGGCAGGCGGAAUUCGUGGCGUAGCGGUGAAAUGCUUAGAUAUCACGAAGAACUCCGAUUGCGAAGGCAGCCUGCUAAGCUGCAACUGACAUUGAGGCUCGAAAGUGUGGGUAUCAAACAGGAUUAGAUACCCUGGUAGUCCACACGGUAAACGAUGAAUACUCGCUGUUUGCGAUAUACAGCAAGCGGCCAAGCGAAAGCGUUAAGUAUUCCACCUGGGGAGUACGCCGGCAACGGUGAAACUCAAAGGAAUUGACGGGGGCCCGCACAAGCGGAGGAACAUGUGGUUUAAUUCGAUGAUACGCGAGGAACCUUACCCGGGCUUAAAUUGCAGAUGAAUUACGGUGAAAGCCGUAAGCCGCAAGGCAUCUGUGAAGGUGCUGCAUGGUUGUCGUCAGCUCGUGCCGUGAGGUGUCGGCUUAAGUGCCAUAACGAGCGCAACCCUUGUUGUCAGUUACUAACAGGUCAUGCUGAGGACUCUGACAAGACUGCCAUCGUAAUAUGUGAGGAAGGUGGGGAUGACGUCAAAUCAGCACGGCCCUUACGUCCGGGGCUACACACGUGUUACAAUGGGGGGUACAGAGGGCCGCUACCACGCGAGUGGAUGCCAAUCCCAAAAACCUCUCUCAGUUCGGACUGGAGUCUGCAACCCGACUCCACGAAGCUGGAUUCGCUAGUAAUCGCGCAUCAGCCACGGCGCGGUGAAUACGUUCCCGGGCCUUGCACU